This 400-nucleotide ribosomal RNA is filed under the name uncultured bacterium. RNAcentral describes it as "bacterial SSU rRNA". It matches the Rfam family "Bacterial small subunit ribosomal RNA", at positions 129 to 524 of the family's 1533-position model. The record is from RNAcentral.
CCCGAUGGAGGGGGAUAACUACUGGAAACGGUAGCUAAUACCGCAUAACGUCUUCGGACCAAAGUGGGGGACCUUCGGGCCUCACACCAUCGGAUGUGCCCAGAUGGGAUUAGCUAGUAGGUGGGGUAAUGGCUCACCUAGGCGACGAUCCCUAGCUGGUCUGAGAGGAUGACCAGCCACACUGGAACUGAGACACGGUCCAGACUCCUACGGGAGGCAGCAGUGGGGAAUAUUGCACAAUGGGCGCAAGCCUGAUGCAGCCAUGCCGCGUGUAUGAAGAAGGCCUUCGGGUUGUAAAGUACUUUCAGCGGGGAGGAAGGCGAUGGAGUUAAUAGCUUCAUCGAUUGACGUUACCCGCAGAAGAAGCACCGGCUAACUCCGUGCCAGCAGCCGCGGUAAU